GACGAACGCUGGCGGCGUGCCUAAUACAUGCAAGUAGAACGCUGAAGAGAGGAGCUUGCUCUUCUUGGAUGAGUUGCGAACGGGUGAGUAACGCGUAGGUAACCUGCCUUGUAGCGGGGGAUAACUAUUGGAAACGAUAGCUAAUACCGCAUAACAAUGGAUGACACAUGUCAUUUAUUUGAAAGGGGCAAUUGCUCCACUACAAGAUGGACCUGCGUUGUAUUAGCUAGUAGGUGAGGUAAUGGCUCACCUAGGCGAGGAUACAUAGCCGACCUGAGAGGGUGAGCGGCCACACUGGGACUGAGACACGGCCCAGACGCCUACGGGAGGCAGCAGUAGGGAAACUUCGGCAAUGGGGGCAACCCCGACCGAGCAACGCCGCGGGAGGGAAGAAGGUUUUCGGAUCGUAAAGCUCGGUUGUAAGUCAAGAACGGGUGUGAGAGUGGAAAGUUCACACUGUGACGGUAGCUGAUCAGAAAGGGACGGCUAACUACGUG
This 497-nucleotide ribosomal RNA is filed under the name uncultured bacterium. RNAcentral's name for it is "partial 16S ribosomal RNA". It matches the Rfam family "Bacterial small subunit ribosomal RNA", at positions 28 to 507 of the family's 1533-position model. The record is from RNAcentral.